UUUAUGGAAAAAGAAACUGACGUGCGUCGUAGGUCGUGUUAAUAAAUUUUCCAUCGAGAAAUUUCUAGCAACUGGAUUGUGAAAACGUGAUCAAUAGAUCACCUCAGAUUUUUAUCAUUGUCACGAAAGUCGUAAUCAAAUUUACGGUAAUUCGAGCCUAGGGUUAUUUUCGAGCAAUAUUUAUUAUUGUCGUUAAUAAUAAUUAAAUAAAAAUAAUUUAAUUGAUAAAGAAGAUAUAAAAAAUAAAAAUGUCUCUCUUUGGAUCAUUGAUGGGUGAUAUUGAAGACGACCCAAUUUUCGGGUCACACAUGCAAUCCAUGCAAUCGAUGAAUAGCAUGAUGAACAUCUUCAGCAAUCCUUUUGGGAUGAUGGCACCAGCACUGAUGGGUCAAGGUCAAAGUAUGAUGGGCCAACAUCAAGGAGGUCCUGUUAACAACAUGCAUCAGAUGAUGUCUUUUGGAUUUCCUAUGCCAACGAUGAAUAUGAAUGCUAUGUUUUCUAAUUUUGAUAACAUGGCUAGCGGUAACUGCAUGACAUCAACAUCAAUAAUGACCUACACAAACGGCCCAGAUGGUCGUCCCCAAGUGUACCAAGCAUCAAAAUCAAUGCGAGCUGGCCCAAAUGGCGUCAAAGAAACCAAAGAAUCUGUUUUUGACUCCCGAGCCGGCACCAAAAAGAUGGCCAUCGGUCACCAUAUUGGCGAAAGAGCUCACAUCAUCGAGAAGAAGAAGGAUUUGCGUAACGGCGAUGAAGAAGAACACCAAGAGUUCAUCAACCUUGACGACGACGAAGCUGAAAAUUUCAACCAAGAAUGGGAACAGCGUAUUCGUCAAGCUCGUCCUCGAGCCAGUGAUUCUCAGGCAGCUAUUGAUUACUCGCCCCACAGAAGACAUCAUCGUGGAGAACGACAGCUUGCGUUGACUGAUGGAACACCAAGUCGACAGAGUGAACGGUCUAGAGUACCAAGUUCAAGACGAAGUAUUCGAGCCUUGACGAACAGUAUUAAAAAUAAAAUCAGGUUCUCCCAAAAGUAUUAAAAAUAUAGUUAAUUAUUCCCGAGGGUGGUGACGUUUUAUUAAAAAUAAAAAUACAACCGCAAGUCAAAAUGAUAGUACUGAAACGGAAUCUAAGCCAAAAGCUACUGAGACAUCCGGAAGACGAAAACAUGAAGAUGAUACCGAAGAUGAUGAAGAUAAUAAUAAGAAGAAA
RNAcentral lists this unclassified non-coding RNA (1209 nucleotides) under Cotesia glomerata. RNAcentral describes it as "myeloid leukemia factor, transcript variant X5". Lineage: Eukaryota; Metazoa; Arthropoda; Insecta; Hymenoptera; Braconidae. The record is from RNAcentral.